CCUACGGUGUGCAGCAGUGGGGAAUAUUGGGCAAUGGGCGCAAGCCUGACCCAGCAAUGCCGCGUGAAGGAAGAAGGCUUACGGGUUGUAAACUUCUUUGACAGGGGAAGAGCAGAAGACGGUACCCUGAAAAAAAGCCACGGCUAACUACGUGACAGCAGCCGAGGUAAUACGUAGGUGGCAAGCGUUAUCCGGAUUUAUGGGGUUUAAAGGGUGCGUAGGCGGGCUGUUAAGUCAGCGGUCAAAUGUCGGGGCUCAACCCCGGCCUGCCGUUGAAACUGGCGGCCUCGAGUGGGCGAGAAGUAUGCGGAAUGCGUGGUGUAGCGGUGAAAUGCAUAGAUAUCACGCAGAACUCCGAUUGCGAAGGCAGCAUACCGGCGCCCGACUGACGCUGAGGCACGAAAGCGUGGGUAUCGAACAGGAUUAGAUACCCCAGUAGUC
RNAcentral lists this ribosomal RNA (441 nucleotides) under uncultured bacterium. RNAcentral describes it as "partial 16S ribosomal RNA". It matches the Rfam family "Bacterial small subunit ribosomal RNA", at positions 338 to 795 of the family's 1533-position model. The record is from RNAcentral.